AAUGACAUAGUUUAUAUAAAAUACUAGCUUGUGGUGUUAGAGAUGCCUUGUGGGGGUUGUGUUG
RNAcentral lists this transfer RNA (64 nucleotides) under Halocynthia spinosa. RNAcentral's name for it is "transfer RNA-His". Lineage: Eukaryota; Metazoa; Chordata; Ascidiacea; Stolidobranchia; Pyuridae. The record is from RNAcentral.